This 404-nucleotide long non-coding RNA is filed under the name Brassica napus (rape). Its description in RNAcentral is "long non-coding RNA (BNAP_LNC020126)". The record is from RNAcentral. Lineage: Eukaryota; Viridiplantae; Streptophyta; Magnoliopsida; Brassicales; Brassicaceae.
GGUAGAAAGAGAUGGGACGAGAAAAGAGGAUAGAGAAUGAAAUUUUGUUAGUUUGUGAAUUUUUUUUUUUUUAGUUAUUAGGUUCAAUUUAUGUUUAAUCUUUGCUUUGUUUUUUUCCUUCUUAUUUUCCCUCACAUUCAUUCUUUACUUAUUUGGUGUGAUGUAGAACCCCUGUUCGAAAACACGGUGUCCGCGGCCGGAAACUCGCCGAAAACUCGCGUUGCGCUAUAGCACCGUCGCGAUUUGGUGCAAUACGGUCAAUUAAUCGGACAUUUUUUUAAAUCAUCGUUUUCGAACGUUUUGUGUUCGAAAUCACAUACGUAUUUGUUAUACUUGUUAAAUUAUAGUUAAAACCUACAAGAAUAGCAGAAAGAAACAGUUGAAUCGAAAUAAAAAAAAUAAUG